Pseudopipra pipra is the source of this 677-nucleotide long non-coding RNA. RefSeq lists it as uncharacterized. The record is from RefSeq and is a predicted model, not a curated record. NCBI's taxonomy places the organism in Eukaryota, Metazoa, Chordata, Aves, Passeriformes, Pipridae. The transcript is spliced from 2 exons.
AAGAGAAUAUAUCUUUCAGUUUAUAAUACUUAACAUCUUAACUAUCACAAAUGCAGAGAAUAUCUGCCAAGCGCAAAUUCUCUGGUUUAUCAUCGACUAAGUUCCUCUUGCCAGUCUGCAGGGAUUGGACACUUACAUUUUUUCCUUAUGAGUGUGUGAUCUUUGUCCCUCAGUGUUUAACAUCACAUGGAACUGAGGAAUUACACCUUGAAACAGGAGUGUCAUUGUUCCACUUAAUGCAAACAACUGAACAAGGCAAAAGCAGUGACAAUUGUAAUGCAGGGUUCUCCCUCCACCCCCCGCACUCCAUGUGGGUAUUUGGGAACAGUGCUAUGGUGAAACCAUUGCACAGUAGCCUGUCAGCAGCAAUUUCACCUCCUUUUUGUCUGAGUGUGCUCCAAGUUUGGCAGCACACUAAAGACUGAAAAUGCAAGUAUCCCAUAUCUAUCCACCCAUACAGCCUCUUCUACCGGACCCAUCACAGACAUAUCUGGGAGCUUUUAUUCACAGGAAAUAGGCUGUCUAAGUGUGUCAAACAGCUUUUGGUGAGCCCAGAACAGACUGUACCAGAGCCUGUGAACAUAUAUACCAGAAGUCAUCAGACCCUGAGGUGGACUACAAGGAUGUUGAAAAUGGACAAUCAAGGGUAAGAAGAAGUAUCUCCAGAGGUUAGGUAG